This 74-nucleotide transfer RNA is filed under the name Taiwanofungus camphoratus. RNAcentral's name for it is "tRNA-Glu". The record is from RNAcentral. RNAcentral also lists the same sequence under 1 other name. Lineage: Eukaryota; Fungi; Basidiomycota; Agaricomycetes; Polyporales; Taiwanofungaceae.
UAGAAUAUAGUUAAAUUGGUAUAACGCUAUUUACCUCGUAGAUAGUAUUAUUAGUUCAACUCUAAUUAUUCUAU